RNAcentral lists this ribosomal RNA (496 nucleotides) under uncultured bacterium. RNAcentral's name for it is "partial 16S ribosomal RNA". It matches the Rfam family "Bacterial small subunit ribosomal RNA", at positions 29 to 507 of the family's 1533-position model. The record is from RNAcentral.
AUGAACGCUGGCGGCGUGCCUAAUACCUGCCAGUCGAGCGAACGGACGAGAAGCUUGCUUCUCUGAUGUUAGCGGCGGACGGGUGAGUAACACGUGGAUAACCUACCUAUAAGACUGGGAUAACUUCGGGAAACCGGAGCUAAUACCGGAUAAUAUUUUGAACCGCAUGGUUCAAAAGUGAAAGACGGUCUUGCUGUCACUUAUAGAUGGAUCCGCGCUGCAUUAGCUAGUUGGUAAGGUAACGGCUUACCAAGGCAACGAUGCAUAGCCGACCUGAGAGGGUGAUCGGCCACACUGGAACUGAGACACGGUCCAGACUCCUACGGGAGGCAGCAGUAGGGAAUCUUCCGCAAAGGGCGAAAGCCUGACGGAGCAACGCCGCGUGAGUGAUGAAGGUCUUCGGAUCGUAAAACUCUGUUAUUAGGGAAGAACAUAUGUGUAAGUAACUGUGCACAUCUUGACGGUACCUAAUCAGAAAGCCACGGCUAACUACGUG